GAGGGGGUCCUAGCGGAGAGGAGAGGAGAGGAGAGGAGGCUGGAGGGGCCAAAAGCGCAUGUGGGCUGUGGUGGGGUUGGGGAUCCAAUCCGACUGAGAGCGCUGAGUGGGCGUGGGGGCAUCUGCUGUCAGUCUAGCUACAGAAAGGGCAGAUCUAAAGAACUCUCCCAGGGGAAAAAUGCCGUCAUGGCAGCUGUAGCUAAAUGUGCUCAAUAGGAACCGAAAAGGUAGCGGAUCCCUCCCAGAUGAACCGAAAGCAAGGGGUAUUUCUAGCCCUCAUUACUUCCUUCCACUUCACUCUUGCUUGGUGUGGCUCACGUUGGAGCACCGUCCUCACGGGUCGCGGGUUCGAUUCUGGUCAAGACACAAACCCAGGUUGUGGGUUCGAUUCCCAUCAGGCGUGUGAGGGAGGCAAAGGAUCAUCUAUGUUCUCUUUACACAUCACACCAAGGUUUCUCUCUCCCUCUCCCUUCCUCUCUAAAACAACAACUACAAACCACUGGUGGAAAACGUGGAAUGGACACAUUCUACCUGAGGAAUGCCCAACCAUUCGUAGUCCUUAUCGUCAGAAUCGCUGACUUGACUCUGCUCUGAAAUCCCAGGAGAGGAAAAUGAAUCUGCCUCCCGGAGAGGAAAGUGAAAAUGCAACGUCAGUUCUCAGUGUCUCCUGGGAAUGCAGGAGAGGUGAACACAGAAUCCUGCCAUCACCAUGAGAACAAGCCCACUGGAGGAUGAAAGGCCCCAUGGGGCAGAGCUGAGUCAUCACUGCUGAGGCCAUCCUUGACCAGACAGCCCUCAGGUGACUGCAGAGUGACGUCUCCAGGGCAAACCGAAGUCCCAUACUAUCCAGAAAGGAGUUGCCGGGGGAAUUUGUGGAGCAUUGGUCAGCUCUGGGCACUUCUAGUAGGUCACCUGUAUCUGUUCUUCAGCUAGACACAGUCCUCAAGAAUCCACAUGAAAGGCAUGCAUUGCGGUGGCUCCAAGCAGCUUGGGUGGUGGGAGAAGGAGCAGGGGCCAGGCAGCCCAGGCUCGCAAAGGCACCCAGCAAGCACCGGCCCAGCAGCCACCCUCCCCAAGAGGAUGGUCAGCACCACACCACUGAGGGGGUCGCGAAGAGAUCCAAGAGUUGUCAGCUAUACCUGCUCCUGCAAAAGUGGAAAUGAAGAAAGAAAAAAAAAAGGCAGCAGGAAAGGAUAAAUCUGCAGACAAAAAAAGUACAAAUGAAGGGAAUAGGGGAAAAACAGGCUGAAGUGGCUAGCCGAGAACUUAAAGAUCUACCUGCGGGAAAUGGAGAAACUAAAAAUGAGGAGAAUCUAGCUUCAGGCGAAGCAGAAGAGAAAGAAGCCAAGUCUGAUUAGUAUCAUAUUAAUCAUAUUAUAAGACAUAAAAUACCAUGUCUUAUCAGUGGUCCCUGUCUCCCUUCCUAAACAAUCCAGAGGAAUAUUUUUAUCAACUAUUUUGUAGUGUAAAUGCUUUUUUAAAAGAAGAAAUCAUUUGCUGAUUGUUUGUUUUUUGUGGGGUUUUUUGGGUUUUUGUUUUGUUUUGUUUUGUUUUGGUAUAACCAGAAAAUAGUGGGAUAUUGAAUAUGGGAGGCUUUGAUUAUCUUAACUUUCCAUAGGUGGGGGUCAUUGUUAUAUCCUAUAAUACAAAGCAUACUAAAUGGCAAUAUGGCAUCAGUUGUGCAUUUAAUGUCUUGAAAGUUUUAAAUUACAUCUAUUCCCAUGUUGUUGGUAGUAUUGUUUCCUAAAGAAAACCCCUCCUCCAUCUUGGCUCUCCCUGUCAGAAUUUUGUGCAUCUGUAACAUCUUGGGUGAGGCAGUCCUUUCCCUGGUAACUUUGUUAAUGUGCUGUGAAAGAUUGAAGAUUUCAUCAUGUAGCUUAUAUGACAUUACAUUGCAAAUUAGUGGGACUUUGAUGUUAUAGCACAUCAACAUUUGAAGAUCUAGACACUUGAUACUUCGUUAAGGAAAUUUAGCCUCCAUAUUUUAAGCUGAAAAUUCACCAGAAUAACUAUUGAGAAAAAAAUCACCACUACGUAACUUUAAGUUUUUGGUACGUAUGUUAAGAAUUGUGUACAAAUGGAAAUGUCUGUGUACUUAUCCUCAAAACAAUUGAUAAAAUGUCAAUUAUGAAAGAAAAAAA
Long non-coding RNA from Myotis davidii, 2141 nucleotides. RefSeq lists it as uncharacterized. Lineage: Eukaryota; Metazoa; Chordata; Mammalia; Chiroptera; Vespertilionidae. The record is from RefSeq and is a predicted model, not a curated record. The transcript is spliced from 4 exons.